CAGCCGCCACGGGAAUACGUAGGUGGCAAGCGUUGUCCGGAAUUAUUGGGCGUAAAGGGCUCGCAGGCGGUUUCUUAAGUCUGAUGUGAAAGCCCCCGGCUCAACCGGGGAGGGUCAUUGGAAACUGGGAAACUUGAGUGCAGAAGAGGAGAGUGGAAUUCCACGUGUAGUGGUGAAAUGCGUAGAGAUGUGGAGGAACACCAGUGGCGAAGGCGACUCUCUGGUCUGUAACUGACGCUGAGGAGCGAAAGCGUGGGGAGCGAACAGGAUUAGAUACCCCGGUAGUCCCUGUCUCUUAUAC
This 301-nucleotide ribosomal RNA is filed under the name uncultured bacterium. RNAcentral's name for it is "partial 16S ribosomal RNA". It matches the Rfam family "Bacterial small subunit ribosomal RNA", at positions 509 to 807 of the family's 1533-position model. The record is from RNAcentral.